GGAUGUGAGGGCGAUCUGGCUGCGACAUCUGUCACCCCAUUGAUCGCCAGGGUUCAUUUGGCUGAUCUGGCUGGCUAGGCGGGUGUCCCCUUCCUCCCUCACCGCUCCAUGUGUGUCCCUCCCAAAGUUGCACACUCGGUCGAAGAGGACGACCAUCCCCGCUAGAGGAGGACCGGUCUUCGGUCAAAGGUAUACGAGUAGCUGCGCUCCCUUGCUAGAACCUCCAAACAAGCUCUCAAGACUUGGCUAUGUCCUAGGAUGAAGGAGUCUAGCUCUUUUGCCCAGGCUGGAGUGCAGUGGCAUUCACUA
Molecule: unclassified non-coding RNA, 309 nt
Organism: Rhinopithecus bieti (black snub-nosed monkey)
Lineage: Eukaryota; Metazoa; Chordata; Mammalia; Primates; Cercopithecidae
Gene: 7SK
Rfam family: 7SK RNA
About the family: 7SK was discovered as an abundant small nuclear RNA in the mid-70s but a possible function has only recently been suggested. Two independent studies have found that 7SK RNA binds the CDK9/cyclin T complex (known as elongation factor P-TEFb).
Source: Ensembl